This 1390-nucleotide long non-coding RNA is filed under the name Fukomys damarensis (Damara mole-rat). RNAcentral describes it as "lncRNA (ENSFDAG00000026587.1)". The record is from RNAcentral. Lineage: Eukaryota; Metazoa; Chordata; Mammalia; Rodentia; Bathyergidae.
CGGAGCAAUGCUAUUUAUAUCUGUGGCCUGUGGUCCCAGACAGGAAGAAAGAGAGGGGCCUCCUGUGUCCUAUCCAGCAGAAAGAGCAAGAAAGACUCCAAGGUGUUGCACAGGGGCGGAGACCAGGGCUCUGAAGAUUUCUUAGAAGAACAGGCAGGUCCAUGCCAAGAGUCCUUCAAAAGGUGGCCUGUGUCCGUGCUGACCACGAAGACGACCAGUAGAUGCCUUUGACUUCCCUGGAAUCGCAGGGCAGCCAGCUUCCCGGGAGGCACUUGAGCUGCGAGGGGCGAAUGUGGCCAUCGGACAGGAUCCUGCUCAGGAUCAGGAAUAAGAAGAGGGGAACCGCAGUCGGGUUUCAUUGUGAUACCCGGGGCAAAACUAGCAACAGACGUGGGCAGGACAAAGAACUGGCCUGAGACAAUAAUUUGUGUCAAGACUCCAUCCAAUCACCAGGCCCUGCUGCAUUCACGUUCUCCUGAUUUAUGUCUCAGCUCCCAGAAUGCCAGGUGCCUGCAGCAUGAGGAGGUGGAGGCUUUGGCAGGUGUUCUGCCAGCACGGAUCAGAUUUAUCACCAAAUUAAACACAACUGUGAAUUUGGAAGAAAAAUUGUCAAAUUCACAAAGUAUGCCACAGAUUAGCCCAAAUACAGUUGCUUCUAACCUAUGCAUUUUGUCUGGAUGUUUGCAUUUGUUGGAGGUAAGAUAUGCUGCAAGGCCAGGGCUGGCCAGCAACAUUUCGUUUGUUCCUUCUAACAAAAGCAGAAUGAGGGCUGGGGAGUUAGCUCAGUGGUUCUGCCGCCUUCCAAAGCGCAAGGUCCUGAAUUAGAUCCCUGGUGUAAAAAAAAAAAAAAAAAAAAAAAAAAAAAAAAAAAAAAAAAAAGAAAAUAGAUCUGAAUAUAAACAAAGAGAAAUCAAAGGAUUGAUAAUAGGAAACCCGGGCCAGGGAUUUAGCUAAGUGGUGCUGCACCUGCUUGGCAAGCACAAAGUUCCGAGUUCAAUCCGCAGUACCAAAAAAAAAAGGAAUCAGGGAGCUAGAUCUUUUGCAAAUAGGAGGGGGACCAAGAGACGGAGGGAAGGAGAUGUGAGGAUGAAAAAAGAAUUAAAAUGUGCUAUUAUAUACAAGUACCAACGCUUCACAGGGAAUGUUCUCAUUAUGCACUGCAAGGGUGCACCAAUAAAAAUAAUAAUUGAAAAAAAGGAAAGGAUCCGAAAGUACCUUUGAAUCCUAAAAGCACGACACAGAUGUGUGUUUUCCUUACUGAUUUCACUGUUGUGCUAUUUAAAGGAAAAUAGUUAGGAGAUAAACAGUGUAAAUUAGCUCUUUUCUCUUUCUUUUAUGCCAGUGCAUUUUCUAACGCAUUCUAAAUGCAAUAGAACCUCUCUAUUUUGUU